CUGGAGGUAUCAGAAGUGCGAAUGCUGACAUAAGUAACGAUAAAGCGGGUGAAAAGCCCGCUCGCCGGAAGACCAAGGGUUCCUGUCCAACGUUAAUCGGGGCAGGGUGAGUCGACCCCUAAGGCGAGGCCGAAAGGCGUAGUCGAUGGGAAACAGGUUAAUAUUCCUGUACUUGGUGUUACUGCGAAGGGGGGACGGAGAAGGCUAUGUUGGCCGGGCGACGGUUGUCCCGGUUUAAGCGUGUAGGCUGGUUUUCCAGGCAAAUCCGGAAAAUCAAGGCUGAGGCGUGAUGACGAGGCACUACGGUGCUGAAGCAACAAAUGCCCUGCUUCCAGGAAAAGCCUCUAAGCAUCAGGUAACAUCAAAUCGUACCCCAAACCGACACAGGUGGUCAGGUAGAGAAUACCAAGGCGCUUGAGAGAACUCGGGUGAAGGAACUAGGCAAAAUGGUGCCGUAACUUCGGGAGAAGGCACGCUGAUAUGUAGGUGAAGUCCCUCGCGGAUGGAGCUGAAAUCAGUCGAAGAUACCAGCUGGCUGCAACUGUUUAUUAAAAACACAGCACUGUGCAAACACGAAAGUGGACGUAUACGGUGUGACGCCUGCCCGGUGCCGGAAGGUUAAUUGAUGGGGUUAGCCGCAAGGCGAAGCUCUUGAUCGAAG
RNAcentral lists this ribosomal RNA (661 nucleotides) under Escherichia coli. RNAcentral's name for it is "partial 23S ribosomal RNA". It matches the Rfam family "Bacterial large subunit ribosomal RNA", at positions 1273 to 1917 of the family's 2925-position model. The record is from RNAcentral. Lineage: Bacteria; Pseudomonadati; Pseudomonadota; Gammaproteobacteria; Enterobacterales; Enterobacteriaceae.